CACCGUUGGGAUACCACCCCUGUAGUACUGGGACUCUAACCAGAGGCCUUGAAUCAGGUCUUGGGACACUGUCAGGCGGGCAGUUUGACUGGGGCGGUCGCCUCCCAAAAGGUAACGGAGGCGCUCAAAGGUUCUCUCAGCACGGUCGGAAAUCGUGCAUAGAGUGUAAAGGCAUAAGAGAGCUUGAUUGCAAGACAUACAGGUCGAGCAAGGACGAAAGUCGGACUUAGUGAUCCGGUGGUUCUGAG
This 248-nucleotide ribosomal RNA is filed under the name Acinetobacter baumannii. Its description in RNAcentral is "partial 23S ribosomal RNA". It matches the Rfam family "Bacterial large subunit ribosomal RNA", at positions 2187 to 2433 of the family's 2925-position model. Lineage: Bacteria; Pseudomonadati; Pseudomonadota; Gammaproteobacteria; Moraxellales; Moraxellaceae. The record is from RNAcentral.